GAUGAACGCUGGCGGCAGGCCUAAUACAUGCAAGUCGAGCGGAAGGACAGUAAGCGUGCUUCUCUACUGUUAGCGGCGGACGGGUGAGUAAGGCAUGCAUCACCUACUUCUAUUACUUGGGUGACUUCGGGGGACCGUAGCUGAUAAUAGCUAAUAUUUUGUACCGCUUGAUUCAAAGGUGAAUGACGCUCUUGCUGUCACUUAUAGAUGAAUCCGCGCUGCAUUAGCUAGUUGGUAAGGUAACGGCUUACCAAGGCAACGAUGCAUAGCCGAUCUGAGAGGAUGAUCGGCCACACUGGAACUGAGACACGGUCCAGACUCCUACGGGAGGCAGCAGUAGGGAAUAUUGCGCAAUGGGCGAAAGCCUGACGGAGCAAUGCCGCGUGAGUGAUGAAGGUCUUCGGAUCGUAAAACUCUGUUAUUAGGGAAGAAAAUAUGUGUAAGUAACUGUGGCUAUCUUGACGGUACCUAAUCAGAAAGCAACGGCUAACUACGUG
This 497-nucleotide ribosomal RNA is filed under the name uncultured bacterium. Its description in RNAcentral is "partial 16S ribosomal RNA". It matches the Rfam family "Bacterial small subunit ribosomal RNA", at positions 28 to 507 of the family's 1533-position model. The record is from RNAcentral.